Alnus glutinosa is the source of this 356-nucleotide long non-coding RNA. RefSeq lists it as uncharacterized. The record is from RefSeq and is a predicted model, not a curated record. The transcript is spliced from 2 exons. NCBI's taxonomy places the organism in Eukaryota, Viridiplantae, Streptophyta, Magnoliopsida, Fagales, Betulaceae.
UUCACUCCUCUUCUCCCUAAAAACGCAGCAGCACUCGGUCUCUCUUCCUUUCCACCAACCCGUGAGCUCCUCUCCCUCUCAACUCUCAUCUCUUCUUCACACAAGCUCGGAUUAGCAUGGGAAUGGGCUGAGCUCGUGUGAAGGACAAAGAGUAACGGUUUCAUGGGCUGAAAACAGUAGGAUCAUGUUCGGAUUGGAGACUUUAAGUGGUUCUCCAAUGUAGAGUCCAAGUGACUAGAGUCCAAGGAGUGUUCGAGUUGGAGUCCAAUGCAGCCAAGGUGGGUAUUCCACUCACUGAGAAAAUAUAUAUUUUUAUAUGUAUUGGAUUGAUAAAAAUAUAUAUAUUGUUUAUGAAA